UUUCUUCAGUGGAAGAGAAGGCAGCACCGCACAAAGAAAUGGGUGUAUGGAGCUGCUGACCACUCUGCUGAAGUGAAAGUGGUGACACUGGGGCCAGUGAUUUCUGAAAAUCUCCCAAUUCACUUUGAAGACAAUUUAGGAAUUAAGCUCCUCUGACUGCUCCUUUAACAGCUUAAAAAGCUUUUCUUCUCCUGUUACUUUCUGCAACAGUGGAGGAUUCACAGAUGAUUGUCUUGUUGCAUCAGCUGAGGGUAAUGCAGUCCUUGGAACCUCCAGUUUGCCCUUCCUUUCCCCUUACCAAUAGGCUGCAUCUUUCC
Long non-coding RNA from Rhineura floridana, 317 nucleotides. RefSeq lists it as uncharacterized. The transcript is spliced from 4 exons. The record is from RefSeq and is a predicted model, not a curated record. Lineage: Eukaryota; Metazoa; Chordata; Lepidosauria; Squamata; Rhineuridae.